UGAACCCCGUACUCUGUAUCAUCCAUUCUCAGUAAGCAUGAGAGGAGCUGAGAGACAAAGAAGCAACACAGAGUUACUAGAUUUCCAUCCAUCUGAUUUGGUCUCAUGACCUGCAGCAAGCAACAAACAUGAAAACAAGAAGCCUGGAGAGGAGUAGAUCAACUGCAGGACGAGAAGGAGAAGAGGCAGGACAGAAGCUCCAGGAAGGUGAUAAACAGUGGAGAACAGUGUAACAUAAAUGAAACUAGAAGGACACUCGGAAAGUGCAGACCUCCACCAAGGCAUCCCCUACCUCAAAAAGGUAAUGCUGUGAGAAUUUUACCAGUAGGGACUCAUUUUCCUGAUUAUUCUGACACCACAUGAAUGCAGCCUAUACGCCCUAUUGCGCAAUGUUAACGAAAGUUAAAAAUAAUUUGUAUAUCCGCCCCGGGAUUCGGGUCUGCUUUAAAGUUAAAUGGGUUCUUCCUUGGCCCAUGCUACACCCUUCCAUCAUGUUUCAUGAACAUUGCCAGUAGCGUUUCCAUAACCCUGCUGACAGACAAACAAACUAACAAACAGCAAGGGGAACUGAAAACAAAUAACCUCCUUAGCGGAGGUAAUGACUGAGGAAAGAAUUAACGACAUUUCACGACUCAUCCAGGAGGAUUCAUCUCAAAUUCUAGAAGGCAUUUUAUUCCCUGAACAACUAAAAUAAAUAUUGUUUGCUCUUUCUUUGUAUUAGACUAGUCAUCACUUACUGAAAUAUCAAAAAAACAAUUAUAGAAUGGAUUGACAUAAAAUUUGGUAAAGACAUUCAUGGUUUCUGCUGGCGCCAUAAUGAGGUUGACAAUGUUUUGUGAAAUAUCUCAAGAAAUACUUGAUGGAUUGCUAAAAAUUAUGUGCAGAUAUUCAUGGUGUUCAAGACUUUGGUGAUCCUCUGACUUUCCCUUAAAGAUUUCACUUACCCAGUAAAAUUUCUCAAAUACUAGAUGGCUUGGUACACAAUUUUGUUGAGACAUUCAUGGUUCUCAGACAAUAUAUCCAAAUUAAUUUGGUGAUCCCCUGACUCCUCUAGUGCCAUCAUCAGGUCAAGUUUGUCUAGUACUUUGGUUUAUGACCUACUACCUGCAAAACUGUCAAGUCUCACAUGUACUUUGUGAAGUGCUAAUGAGCAAAUGUUAGCAUGCUAAACUAAACUAAGGUAAAUUACCUGCUGAACAUCAGUUUGUUAGCAUUAUUGUUUGGAGCAUGUUAGCAUUUACAUGUAGAGUAGUCCAGUGUAUUUUUCCUACAGUUUAUUUCCGCAUGCUAUCAAUAUAAAUAAGUACACUUUUAAAUGUGUAAAUGCUGUGUAAUCCACCAGAG
Molecule: long non-coding RNA, 1344 nt
Organism: Etheostoma spectabile (orangethroat darter)
Lineage: Eukaryota; Metazoa; Chordata; Actinopteri; Perciformes; Percidae
Exons: 3
Source: RefSeq, a predicted model, not a curated record